RNAcentral lists this ribosomal RNA (468 nucleotides) under uncultured bacterium. Its description in RNAcentral is "partial 16S ribosomal RNA". It matches the Rfam family "Bacterial small subunit ribosomal RNA", at positions 28 to 507 of the family's 1533-position model. The record is from RNAcentral.
GACGAACGCUGGCGGCGUGCUUAACACAUGCAAGUCGAACGGAAAGGCGCUGCUUUUGUGGGGUGCUCGAGUGGCGAACGGGUGAGUAACACGUGAGUAACCUGCCCUUGACUUUGGGAUAACUUCAGGAAACUGGGGCUAUUACCGGAUAGGAGCUCCUGCUGAAUGGUGGGGGUUGGAAAGUUUCGGCGGUUGGGGAUGGACUCGCGGCUUAUCAGCUUGUUGGUGGGGUAGUGGCUUACCAAGGCUUUGACGGGUAGCCGGCAUGAGAGGGUGACCAGGCACAUUGGGACUGAGAUACGGCGCAGACUCCUACGGGAGGCAGCAGUGGGGAGUAUUGCACAAUGGGCGGAAGCCUGAUGCAGCAACGCCGCGUGCGGAAUGACGGCCUUCGGGUUGUAAACCGCUUUCGCCUGUGACGAAGCGUGAGUGACGGUAAUGGGUAAAGAAGCACCGGCUAACUACGUG